CUUGAUGAAUGGCAGAGAGGUCACACCCGUUCCCAUACCGACACGGAAGUUAAGCUCCUCUAGCGCCGAUGUAAGUUGGGACCUUGUCCCUGUGAGAGUAGGAACGUCGCCAAGC
RNAcentral lists this ribosomal RNA (115 nucleotides) under Bacillus sp. UFRGS-B20. Lineage: Bacteria; Bacillati; Bacillota; Bacilli; Caryophanales; Bacillaceae. The record is from RNAcentral.